RNAcentral lists this ribosomal RNA (240 nucleotides) under uncultured Lactobacillus sp. RNAcentral describes it as "partial 16S ribosomal RNA". It matches the Rfam family "Bacterial small subunit ribosomal RNA", at positions 122 to 355 of the family's 1533-position model. The record is from RNAcentral. Lineage: Bacteria; Bacillati; Bacillota; Bacilli; Lactobacillales; Lactobacillaceae.
UAACCUGCCCAAGAGAUCGGGAUAACACCUGGAAACAGAUGCUAAUACCGGAUAACAACAGAUGAUGCCUAUCAACUGUUUAAAAGAUGGUUCUGCUAUCACUCUUGGAUGGACCUGCGGUGCAUUAGCUAGUUGGUAGGGUAACGGCCUACCAAGGCGAUGAUGCAUAGCCGAGUUGAGAGACUGAUCGGCCACAUUGGGACUGAGACNCGGCCCAAACUCCUACGGGGAGGCAGCAGC